Long non-coding RNA from Magnolia sinica, 562 nucleotides. RefSeq lists it as uncharacterized. The transcript is spliced from 3 exons. The record is from RefSeq and is a predicted model, not a curated record. Lineage: Eukaryota; Viridiplantae; Streptophyta; Magnoliopsida; Magnoliales; Magnoliaceae.
UAUUUGUUUUUUCUUUUCUUUGUGUGUAGGAGCAUUUAUGGAGAUAUUUGACAAUUCAUAUGCGAAAUGCAGGUUGGCUUGGGUUUCUCUGUUCGAACCAGGCAAUGACUUUUGCUGUCACCUUUUCUAAUUUGGCAGCUACCUUAAUUGUUGGCAUCUACCAGAAAAUCAUUGUUUACUUUUUGUCAGAUUAGAAGAAAAGCUCUUGGACAUGGCACUAGCAUCUCAAUCUCAGUGACUCAACUUGUUGCAGGAGCUAUUCGCCGAUAUAGCUUUAGAGGUUGAUGUUCGAGCUAGGGAUGACUGUAAUGUGUUCAACCAGAUCCAACCCAAAAAGGAGUCAUCUUUGCUCAAGGCAAUUGAUUUUGGGUUGUCUGUAUUCUUUUAACCUGGUAAGGCCUUGGGAUUCCUUGCUUGUAACUAUCUAUCACUAUGGAUGAUUCAUCCUCCAUUCAUUAGCUGUCAUUCUGAAAUGUUUUUCAUGCAAUUUGUGUUAUUCUGUUGGGAGAUUUUAGCAUUGAAACUUUGGGGAUUUUCUACAGGGGAGCGGUUUACGGAGAUA